This 81-nucleotide transfer RNA is filed under the name Allium cepa (onion). Its description in RNAcentral is "tRNA-Cys". The stretch from base 1 to 71 matches the Rfam family "tRNA". From Rfam's summary of the family: Transfer RNA (tRNA) molecules are approximately 80 nucleotides in length. Their secondary structure includes four short double-helical elements and three loops (D, anti-codon, and T loops). The record is from RNAcentral. Lineage: Eukaryota; Viridiplantae; Streptophyta; Magnoliopsida; Asparagales; Amaryllidaceae. RNAcentral also lists the same sequence under 59 other names.
GGCGGCAUGGCCAAGUGGUAAGGCGGGGGACUGCAAAUCCUUUAUCCCCAGUUCAAAUCCGGGUGUCGCCUGAUCAACCAA